AGCAGCCGCGGUAAUUCCAGCUCCAAUAGCGUAUAUUAAAGUUGUUGCAGUUAAAAAGCUCGUAGUUGAAUUUCGGGAUCAUCAGGUUGGUCGUGCCUCUGGUAUGUACUGAUUUCGAUGGUUCCUCCUUCUUGAAGAUCCGUAAUGCCAUUAAUUUGGUGUUGCGGGGAAUCAGGACUGUUACUUUGAAAAAUUAGAGUGUUUAAAGCAGGCAAUCGCUUGAAUACAUUAGCAUGGAAUAAUGAAAUAGGACGUUCGAUCCUAUUUUGUUGGUUUCUAGGAUUGACGUAAUGAUUAAUAGGGAUAGUUGGGGGCAUUAGUAUUCAAUUGUCAGAGGUGAAAUUCUUGGAUUUAUUGAAGACUAACUACUGCGAAAGCAUUUGCCAAGGAUGUUUUCAUUAAUCAAGAACGAAAGUUAGGGGAUCGAAGACGAUCAGAUACCGUCGUAGUCUUAACCAUAAACUAUGCCGACUAGGGAUCGGAUGAUGUUAAUUUUUAAUGUA
Molecule: ribosomal RNA, 503 nt
Filed under: uncultured Glomus
Lineage: Eukaryota; Fungi; Glomeromycota; Glomeromycetes; Glomerales; Glomeraceae
Description: SSU rRNA
Rfam family: Eukaryotic small subunit ribosomal RNA
Source: RNAcentral